CGAGAUAGAUUUCUCAGUGAAGGUGUGCCCUUCUGACAGCAUUUUUACAACUUGAGACAUGAUCGGUCUGUUUUUGGGUGCAGCUUGAGUGCACAAUAGAGCGACUUUGAUGAACCGCAAUGCUUCUUCUUCCGAGAGAUUGUUGUCCUUCGAGAAGGGGGGGGAGGUAUCAUCAGGUCGGGAGAUAAUGAAAGAGGAACUCAAUGCCACCUCAAAAGCUCAACCGUAAAUUGAGUCAGAAAAAACUUGGAGCAGCAAGAGGGUUUGAAGGAAUAGAAGGAAAAGGGGUUCAAUCUAGGGUAAGUAUCUUCCUUCAACCUUGAAAGAGUGCAGGUUUAUAUUGUUUAUAUGGAUAAUAAAGUGUGAUCCAGACAUAUCCUCAGCUUACAAUCAUCAGCUUCCAACUGCUGCUUAUGAUGGAAGGUUGAUGCAAAUAGCACGUUUCCAUGCAAGUAAUCUCAGCUCAGAUUAUAUUAUUUUCAAUUCUGUAAUGCUUAAAUUGUAUGUCAUUUAAUGAGCAAUGAAGUUCUAGGCAGGACUAACAAAAGAGAAAAAAUGUAGAAAAUUUUCAUAAUCGAAGACCAAUACUAAAAAGAAAUUUCUACAAUCCCUUAGUACUUUAGUUAAAUGCUUUUCAGUUUAUGUGACAUUUUUGCCAUUUGGCAUGCCAAUCAACUAUUACUUAACUGACAUAUGAAGCAGGAAUCGAUAUGUGAAAGAUCCUCGAUAAAAAAUUAGUUAAUAUUUCCAAAAUCUAGAGGAAUGGGUAACUUUAUAUUAUCUUUAGUUAAAUUUUUCUUAUAGAAAGGUGAAUUGAUAUUGAAUGUACUUUUUGUCAAAUAAUACCCUACCAUAUAAAUGCUGAAUUUUUGUGCCUAGAAUUGCCCAUACGUCUUGAAGCACAGUUUUAAACUUAGAUAUUGCCCAGGCAUCAUAAUAGCCAGAGUGCUUAUGAUAAAAUAUAUUCCAUUCUUGGUAUCUAGGACAAGCAUCUUUUACUACUAAAUCAUAUUUUAUGACUCGCAACUUUAGUCAUCAAUAACACUUGAUGGAAUCAGAAAUCCUAUUUAAAAACAAAUGGCAAGUUCCUAUCUUUUAAUAAGCGUGGACUACUUUUUUUAUCACUUUUCCUAGCAUCACAACUUAACAUUUCAUCUUUUGGAAUUUCUAUUUGGAGGAUAAUUUUGAAAAGAAAAUUCAGAUGCUAAAAUUCACAAGCAGCAAGGAAUCACAAAUGGAAGACAUCUUUUCGUUACCAUUUU
This is a long non-coding RNA of Cryptomeria japonica (Japanese cedar), 1262 nucleotides long. RefSeq lists it as uncharacterized. The transcript is spliced from 4 exons. The record is from RefSeq and is a predicted model, not a curated record. NCBI's taxonomy places the organism in Eukaryota, Viridiplantae, Streptophyta, Pinopsida, Cupressales, Cupressaceae.